Long non-coding RNA from Grus americana (Whooping crane), 517 nucleotides. RefSeq lists it as uncharacterized. NCBI's taxonomy places the organism in Eukaryota, Metazoa, Chordata, Aves, Gruiformes, Gruidae. The record is from RefSeq and is a predicted model, not a curated record. The transcript has 3 exons.
AGAAGAAACAAUUACCGUGAGAGAUUUGGUGCUUCUAGAGAGCAGCGCCUGCCUGGAGUUUGGUCGUCAAAAACCUUUGCAGAAAGGUCCUUUGCAAUCUACAGCACAUGGGCAAGCAGCCUGAAGCACAACGCCCGACGCACAAAGCCUGGCUGUCUUCCUGCCGCCACUGGAGUCCCUUCCUGCGAGUGAGCUGCUCGCCCUCUUCUUUCUCUGCUCUGGAUCUGCCACCACGAACUGAAGGGCCACUGGAGCUGGGGGGUCUACAGCCCUGAUUUACCAUUCCAGAGAUGAGUGAACCUACUCAGGACCCCACUGGAGUUAAGGGAUCUCGUGCACUGCACUUUGCAGGAAGAGGGCCGCAACUUGCUCUCUUCCUGCCGUCACACAUUCUCAUGAUUUCUUCAUGCAAGGAUUUGGGGGAAUACACACGGCUCCUCCUUUCCACCAUCUGCCUGAGAACUUCACCUCAGCGGAGGGGAGUUGUACCUUUUCUGCCGGAACCUGAAGUUCUCAA